This 324-nucleotide long non-coding RNA is filed under the name Setaria viridis. RNAcentral describes it as "long non-coding RNA (SVIR_LNC010150)". Lineage: Eukaryota; Viridiplantae; Streptophyta; Magnoliopsida; Poales; Poaceae. The record is from RNAcentral.
AGCACCAAUACAAUUGCAUAAGUAGUAAAGUGAUCAUGCAGUCAUGAGCUCAAUCUUCCAUAAGCUCUUCACGAAACUCUACAAUGAAGCAGGGUAUCAAGAGCGUGCUCAGUGACCGAGAGUGCAGCUAUUGCAAUAUAUUGGAACCCUGCAGGGGUGUACAACUUUUCCCACACGAGGCACAAGACCAACGACCAUAUCCUUGGCCUAGGAUAAGUGUUGACUCAUGCCCCCGACCGUUCACAUACCUACACCCGACUAUGAACGAACAACCGGAAAUGUAUAGAUGCACUAGACAUGGCCGAUCACACCUCAUCCCAUCCC